ACGUAGGGAGCGAGCGUUAUCCGGAUUUACUGGGCGUAAAGCGCGCGUAGGUGGUUUGUUAAGUUGGAUGUGAAAGCCCCGGGCUCAACCUGGGAACUGCAUCCAAAACUGGCAGGCUAGAGUACGGUAGAGGGUGGUGGAACUUCCUGUGUAGCGGUGAAAUGCGUAGAUAUAGGAAGGAACACCAGUGGCGAAGGCGACCACCUGGACUGAUACUGACACUGAGGUGCGAAAGCGUGGGGAGCAAACAG
This 251-nucleotide ribosomal RNA is filed under the name uncultured bacterium. RNAcentral's name for it is "partial 16S ribosomal RNA". It matches the Rfam family "Bacterial small subunit ribosomal RNA", at positions 525 to 775 of the family's 1533-position model. The record is from RNAcentral.